AUUGAAGCCCAGGUCGCCACACAGGAACAGGCUCCUCCCCGCUGCAAAUGGCGUGAACUUCUGGAGGCCCCACCCCGUUCUCCCAGUGCAAAGGUUUAUUGAAAAUGUUACAACAUUUCAGAAAGAUUCAAACAGCUCCAUGUGGUGGAUAGUCCAAUCUGCAGGUCACUCAGCCUACAGUUGGGAUGAAUUUCCCAAAGUCCAAACCUUCAGCAUUUCUCCAGUAUCAAGAUCUACUUCAGUGAUCUCCUGAUCCAAGCCUGAGACCUCAGGAGCAUAAUUAUCUCUCCUUUCUCUCUUCUUCUCCUGCAACCUGAUGGAAAUACCUCUUACUGGGCCCCUGUGAAUCUGCUUCUUCAGAUGCGUGACUCAGCCUGCUAUCUUGUUGCAGAGCUUCUUGCUGGGGAUAAUGACAGUCUUCACCCACUUGCUUGUUCAUGUGGAAAUCAUUACCGGGGUGCAUGUAAUACUUUUCUAUGAUGACCCAGGCUACCUUCUUCACUGUUUUGGUGUGAAGGCUGCCCAUCUUGGCAGGUCCUUGGUAAAAGAGGCCAAACUCUUUAUACUUAAAAAUUUACUUUGCUCAUCUUACAGCCUUUUACAUCUAAAUAUAGUUUCAUCAAGUAACAUUCUUACAAUUAUAUUCAUUU
RNAcentral lists this long non-coding RNA (650 nucleotides) under Homo sapiens (human). RNAcentral's name for it is "HSALNT0364843". Lineage: Eukaryota; Metazoa; Chordata; Mammalia; Primates; Hominidae. The record is from RNAcentral.